CCUACGAGAGGCAGCAGUGAGGAAUAUUGGUCAAUGGGCGCGAGCCUGAACCAGCCAAGUAGCGUGAAGGAUGAAUGCCCUACGGGUUGUAAACUUCUUUUAUAAAGGCAUAAAGUGAGGCACGUGUGCCUUUUUGUAUGUACUUUAUGAAUAAGGAUCGGCUAACUCCGUGCCAGCAGCCGCGGUAAUACGGAGGAUCCGAGCGUUAUCCGGAGUUAUUGGGUUUAAAGGGAGCGUAGAUGGGUUGUUAAGUCAGUUGUGAAAGUUUGCGGCUCAACCGUAAAAUUGCAAUUGAUACUGGCAGUCUUGAGUACAGUUGAGGUAGGCGGAAUUCGUGGUGUAGCGGUGAAAUGCUUAGAUAUCACGAAGAACUCCGAUUGCGAAGGCAGCUUACUAAACUGCCACUGACAUUGAUGCUCGAAAGUGUGGGUAUCAAACAGGAGUAGAUACCCGGGUAGUC
Molecule: ribosomal RNA, 460 nt
Filed under: uncultured bacterium
Lineage: Bacteria
Description: partial 16S ribosomal RNA
Rfam family: Bacterial small subunit ribosomal RNA
Source: RNAcentral